Molecule: ribosomal RNA, 597 nt
Filed under: uncultured Acidobacteriota bacterium
Lineage: Bacteria; Pseudomonadati; Acidobacteriota
Description: bacterial SSU rRNA
Rfam family: Bacterial small subunit ribosomal RNA
Source: RNAcentral
AGAGUCACUCCUACGGGAGGCAGCAGUGGGGAAUUGUUCGCAAUGGGCGCAAGCCUGACGACGCAACGCCGCGUGGAGGAUGAAGACCUUCGGGUCGUAAACUCCUUUCGACCGAGAUGAAUGCCCUUCCAUCUAACACAUGGAAGGAAUGACAGUAUCGAGGGAAGAAGCCCCGGCUAACUCCGUGCCAGCAGCCGCGGUAAUACGGGGGGGGCAAGCGUUGUUCGGAAUUACUGGGCGUAAAGGGCGCGUAGGCGGCCUGCUAAGUCGAACGUGAAAUCCCCGGGCUCAACCCGGGAACUGCGUCCGAUACUGGUUGGCUUGAAUCCGGGAGAGGGAUGCGGAAUUCCAGGUGUAGCGGUGAAAUGCGUAGAUAUCUGGAGGAACACCGGUGGCGAAGGCGCUGCUCUGGGCCGAUACUGACGCUGAGGAGCGAAAGCGUGGGUAGCAAACAGGAUUAGAUACCCCGGUAGUCCUGGCCCUAAACGAUGGAUACUUGGUGUGUCGGGUCUUCAAGUCCCGGCGUGCCGGAGCUAACGCGUUAAGUAUCCCGCCUGGGGAGUACGGUCGCAAGGCUGAAACUUAAAGGAAUUGACG